UACGGAGGGUGCAAGCGUUAAUCGGAAUUACUGGGCGUAAAGCGCACGCAGGCGGUCUGUCAAGUCGGAUGUGAAAUCCCCGGGCUCAACCUGGGAACUGCAUUCGAAACUGGCAGGCUAGAGUCUUGUAGAGGGGGGUAGAAUUCCAGGUGUAGCGGUGAAAUGCGUAGAGAUCUGGAGGAAUACCGGUGGCGAAGGCGGCCCCCUGGACG
RNAcentral lists this ribosomal RNA (212 nucleotides) under uncultured bacterium. Its description in RNAcentral is "partial 16S ribosomal RNA". It matches the Rfam family "Bacterial small subunit ribosomal RNA", at positions 524 to 735 of the family's 1533-position model. The record is from RNAcentral.